This 497-nucleotide ribosomal RNA is filed under the name uncultured bacterium. Its description in RNAcentral is "partial 16S ribosomal RNA". It matches the Rfam family "Bacterial small subunit ribosomal RNA", at positions 28 to 507 of the family's 1533-position model. The record is from RNAcentral.
GAUGAACGCUGGCGGCGUGCCUAAUACAUGCAAGUCGAGCGAACAGACGAGGAGCUUGCUCCUCUGACGUUAGCGGCGGACGGGUGAGUAACACGUGGAUAACCUACCUAUAAGACUGGGAUAACUUCGGGAAACCGGAGCUAAUACCGGAUAAUAUAUUGAACCGCAUGGUUCAAUAGUGAAAGACGGUUUUGCUGUCACUUAUAGAUGGAUCCGCGCCGCAUUAGCUAGUUGGUAAGGUAACGGCUUACCAAGGCAACGAUGCGUAGCCGACCUGAGAGGGUGAUCGGCCACACUGGAACUGAGACACGGUCCAGACGCCUACGGGAGGCAGCAGUAGGGAAUCUUCCGCAAUGGGCGAAAGCCUGACGGAGCAACGCCGCGUGAGUGAUGAAGGUCUUCGGAUCGUAAAACUCUGUUAUUAGGGAAGAACAAAUGUGUAAGUAACUAUGCACGUCUUGACGGUACCUGAUCAGAAAGCCACGGCUAACUACGUG